GAGCUAAUACCGCAUGACAUCUCGUGGCUACGGCUGUCGAGAUCAAAGCUAGCCUCUUCUUGAAAGCUAGCGCCACCGGAGGAGCCCGCGGCCCAUUAGCUUGAUGGUGAGGUAACGGCUCACCAUGGCUACGAUGGGUAGCCGGCCUGAGAGGAUGAACGGUCACACUGGAACUGAGACACGGUCCAGACUCCUACGGGAGGCAGCAGUGAGGUAAUUUUGCGCAAGUCGGGGGAAACCCUGACGCAGCGACGCCGCGUGGAGGACGAAGGCCUUCGGGUCGUAAACUCCUGUCAAGUCGGGACGAAAGCCGGUGGGGAUGAAUAAGCCCUGCGGUUGACGGUACCGUUGAAGGAAGCCCGGCUAACUCCGUG
This 374-nucleotide ribosomal RNA is filed under the name uncultured bacterium. RNAcentral describes it as "bacterial SSU rRNA". It matches the Rfam family "Bacterial small subunit ribosomal RNA", at positions 160 to 507 of the family's 1533-position model. The record is from RNAcentral.